Molecule: non-coding RNA, 6853 nt
Organism: Dromaius novaehollandiae (emu)
Lineage: Eukaryota; Metazoa; Chordata; Aves; Casuariiformes; Dromaiidae
Source: the annotation of a RefSeq genome assembly
UUUUUUUUUUUUUUUUUUUUGCCAUUUCCCACGCCGUUUCUCCACCCCCCGGAUGCUGCUGCCUUUCUGCUUAUGCAGAUCCAGCCCCCCAAAAUGAGCUUAAAAACCCGCCGGGGUCAUUGCUGCCGGCUCUCCGGGCUGGGGAGCAGGCAGCGAGGAGCACCGCGGACCGACUGAAAUCUGCAUUUUUUCCACCCGAUCCUGGCGCCGUCACCGAAAACCACCUGGGUCAGGAGCAUCAGCGACAUCUCCUUUUUUUCUGGAGCAAACUGCACCUUCCCAGCACGCCGAUCCGCCCCGUUUGCCAGCGGACGCAGCCCUCCCGGUGCCGCGAGGGAGGAUGGAUGAUGCCAGGGCACUGGAGCCGUAAAAUGGGAUUUAACCCCCUUAAAAAGAAAGGUUUUUCUUUGCCCAGAGAGUGGAAAAAGCAAAAAGCAAAGACAGCAGCGCAUUGCACCAUGCAAUUCCUUGCUGCGAACCCCGAGGAUAAGGCAGGAGCUGCCGCAAAGGGCGGUUGCACCUGCUGGAAAUGCACAAAAAUUGCACAGCAUUUACCAGCAAAAAUCAUCCACCGCAGACACGGAGGCUCUUCGAUCCCGCCGAGCCAGGCGAGCGGGGAUUUCGGCACGUGCGUGUCGCAGGUGCGUUAAAAAGCAAAUCCAUGCUGGAAAAUGUUCUUUUUCCUGGGAAAGAUGCACCGUAUCCACAGGCUGCUGCACUACAGGAUGCCCUAAACCCCUCCAAUCCUUGCAAAAAGGGGUGAUCCGCCAGGAUAUAUCGCAAUAUAAAGGAAUGCAUCACCAGCAAGGGAUAUAAAGGAAUAUAUGUUGCCCUGGGAAUCGCUUUGGGAAUUUAUGCUUCAGGGCACCCCAGCUUGCAGGGUGCAAGGAAUUAACGCCGGGAUUUCGCGGUGCUCCGGCCCGUGACAAAACCCCCCGGCGGCUCCAAAUCGCCGCCCGCAACGGAGAAAUCGCGGCUGGAGGCCCAGUGCCGAAAGCGUCUUUUCCUGCGGAUGAGGGAUUUUUGCACCGCCCUGUGGCACCGUGGGUGGUGCUGGUGGUUGGUAUCACGGUGAUAAACUCCCUGACAAAAACAGCUGCUGCAAGCCGCGGAGAGGAGAGGAACGCCUUUUUCCACAAAAAAAAUUCUCCCCCCCCCCCCAUCCUGGAUGCAAAAAAUUCAUCGCAAAUGGUGCAACGUUGCCAAGAAAAAGCCAGGGAUUUCUCUGCUUUUGCACCCUCUGCAGACCGAGUUCACUACGCAAAAGCCUCCAAAGAAAUGGUUUUGUGCAAAAAACCCACCACUGCUUCAGUCCCCGGUUUAGGCUUUAGCGAGGUCAUUAGCCGCUUUGUGCGUGCCUCUAAUUGGGGUUUCCACCAGAGCAGCAGCAUCUGUACAAAUCCAGCAGGACAACGCAGCAGCAGAACGGGAUUUUCGGCACGCGACGAGCAUUUCAAGGCCUUUUUUGCCCCAAAACAGGCCGCACGGCAGGGAGGUAAAGCAGCGGCCCAGCCCGUCCUCCCGCCGUGCAUUUACUGCGUUGCAGCAGGGCUCUCGCUGGCGAGGGAGGUUUUGUGCUACCGCGCACCGCUGCGUGUUUAUGCCGAUGCACGGGGAUGCAUGCCAUGGCCAAAAUAGGCAGCAACAGCGCCGUCCUGGGGCAAAACAGUGGCUUUUUGGGUGCGAGGGGGAAGAAAUAAGAGUGCAAAAGGGGGAAGUUCCCCCCCGGUGGCAUUUUGUACUGCAGUAAAUCACUGGGUGCUGCUGCUGGUACUGAUCACUGUGAAACACACCCAGACAAAAACCCUCCCCAAAACGGCUGCAGGAAAAGCGUUCAAUUGGGGCCAAAGCACGGGAGGAACACAAAAUCUGCAAGCAAACCUAAGGGGAAACAGGAAAACCCGCCUGAUCCUGCAAAAAUAAUAAAAUCCCAGCACGAGGUGCUGCAAUCCUGGCAACUUCCAGAGAAAUCCCUGCAGGAAACGCAUUGCCACAAGGUGCGAUCCUAGCAAUUCCUUCGCUAUUUCUUGCGCAAAACCACAAAACACAGCUUUCAGGGAAGUUAUCACAACGCAAACACACCCCAAUUAGCUAUAUUGCAGUUAUUCAAUCAGUUAUAGCAUUGCCCACAUAAUCAAGGCUUGGUGCAAAUAGAAAAACGCAAAAAAAAGUCAUUAAAUGCACUCUAAUUAGCAAUAAAACCAAUUAUAUCCCUGCAGCAAAGACCAGCCGGGUGAGCUUGCAGAGAGCUCCCGCUGGCUCAGAGCGGCACAGCUCCCAGCUCUUAUUUGAAAUAAUUUCUCCGCUUCGGUGAUUUUUAAUGCCCCGGAGAGCUGGGGGUUAACGCCAAACCGCACGUUUGCAUCGCUCACGCCGGCGAGAAACAGCAGCUUUCAACCGAAAAGCGCAGCCCCAGAGCCCCCACCUCACCCGGCACCGGGGGCUGCUGGGAGCCACCAGCCCAAGGGAUUUGGGGGAGAAGCAGCUCAAAAAAAAGCAUUUUAGCAAAGUGUUUUGCAGCCGCUCGUAUCGCAGAAACGCAAGAGGGGAAAAUAAGAGACGAAGCAGCAGCGUUGCAGCCGCCACUGCCCAGCGCGACACAAAUCAGAGGAUUUAAAGGACCCGGGGAUGCUCCAACCACUACUGAGGGGGCAAAACAUGGAGAAAAAAACAAAACUUGCCAAAACCCCCCCAAAAUGAGGCUCGGCCAACAGCCCCCCAUUCACUGUUGCAUUUGAACCCCACAGAUUUUGCAAAAAACCCCCAGUGGCAGCAGCCAGAGGGGACUUGGCUGCCUGGAAGACCCCAAACAAGGGCAUUUGCUUCCCUUAGAAACAAGCAGAUAAAUGCAAUUAUGGGCAGGGACCAAAAUUGCAGAAACACAACCCAAAAGAGCAGCAAAACAGGGACCGGCAGAGCACUUACCUUGCAAGGUGCAGAGCAGCCCCAGCAGCACUGUGCAUACCCAAAAGCCAAAUUUUGGGAGCCAAACAGCUCCCAGGAGCCGUUUUCCAAGCUUUUAAGCCCAAAGGCAGCCCUCCCUCCCCCCCCCCCCCCCCCCCCCCGCAGGUGCCGGGCAUCAGGGCAGCGCGGGGUAAAAAUGGGCUGCGCUGGGGAAAAUGGGGGAUUUGCUUAAUUUGGUGCUGCUGCACUUCUUGUAGCAGGGAAAGGAGGUAAAACUGUUAUUGCUGCUUUUUGGGGGCAAAUUGGCUUGAUUUACGGGGAAAAGGGGGACCUGAAGCAUGUCUGGCUGCAUGUCCCCCCUUAUGCUGCACAAACCUGGGUGCAUCUGAGAGCAGUUCCUGGGUUUUUGGUGUGCUUUAGCCUUGCUUGCUGGUGUUUCUGCUUUUUGGAGCCUCACUUCGUGGCGUUUGCUGGAGAAAAGCGGAUUUUGGCAGCUCUGGGGCCAGGUGCUUCCUCCCAGGGCUGGAGGUUUUCAGCCCGGAGCUGUUGAUCGCUGCUGGCUUUUCCUCCUGGUGCCCCUAUUUCUGUGCAAAUUGGGUGUUUAAGGGCGAAUAGAGGGAGGGGGGGAAUCGUGCUGGCACAAAGCUCUGUAAAGAUCAAUAAGUUGAUUUUUGCAUCGCCCCAGGAAAGGGUUUUUCCUCCUCUGUGGCAAAGUGCAAGAACGGAGGAAAAAAAUAUAUCUUUUCCCCCACAUUUCUUAAUUUGCAGCAUGCCCAGAGCUGCGGAGAAGGGGGGGGGGGGGUCCCUUUCCUCCUCCCCAAAACAUUUGCACGAGCGGCGCCCAAAACUUGCAAUAACUUGCAGUAACCAGGUAUUGGGGAGGAAUUGCGUUUUCCCAAGGGGGUGCGCGAAAUUGCUGGUGCAAAGGGGGGGAAAUAGGGGCAAAAUUGCUGGUGCAGCGGGUGCAAGGGGGGUGCAAGAAAUUGCUCUUGCAAAGGGGGUUCAGAAAAGGCAAAACUGGGCUGUUAAAGUGUUUUUUCCAGGCGGGCGCGGUGCUUCGGGGCUGGGAGGAGGGAAAAGAAACGAUCUGCGUGAGAAAAGGGUGGAAAUGCAGCAAACGAGCAUCCCCCAAAGCGAAAUAAACAAAAAAAGGAGGGUGAUGGGCGAGGGAAGGGCUAUUGCAGAGCGCCGAUUUCCCCCUGUUUCGCCCCAUUUCGCUGCCUCGGCAGCGCUGGUUGGGUUUUGGGUCCCAAAGGGGCGAUGUGGCUGCGGCCGGCGGGUUUCGCUGCGGUGGUUUUUUUACUAUUUUUUUUUUUAAAUUGUGUUUUGCAGAACAGACUGGGGGAAGGGGUGGAAAAGAGGUGGAAAAGGGGUUUUGGCGGCCGGGGCGGCGGCGGCGCGGCACUGUGCUUGUCCUAGCAGGAUUGACGCCGUGGGCCAGGGGACCGUGGUCACCGUGUCCUCAGGGAAGCCGGCAAGAGGCAGCGUCUACCCCAUCGUGCCUUGCUGCAGCGCCGGCGCCCCGGGCACGGACGCCCUCCUGGCCUGCCUGGCCACGGGCUUCAGCCCGGGCAGCGGCAUCAAGUGGAUCCUGCCGGAGUCGGGCAGCGCCGUCUUCAUCCUCCCGCCGCUGCCGCCGCCACCCCGCCAGGACGUGGCCGCCGGGACCCACCUCAUGGUGCUGCGGGACCCGGGGCGCCGGCAGGCGCUGAGCUGCAGCGUGACCUUCGGCGACAGGCAGACCAUGUCCAAGGCCUUCCCGCCGGACGCGUGCGGGGCGGCGCGGCCGUCCUCCCGCGUGCACCUGGUGGAACCGCCGUGCCCGGCGGCCGAGGGCCCGGCGCCGCCGGAGCUGGUCUGCAUUGUCUGGGGCUUCGGGAGCGGCGGGGCGGCGGCGGCGGCGACGACGUGGCUGCUCAACGGGCGGGAGACGGGCCUGGAGGCGCGGGUGUCCCUCGGCGAGGGCGAGGACGGCUCCGCCAGCAGCUACAGCCGGCUGGAGAUCACCCGCGAGAGCUGGGACGCCGGCGACGUCUACACCUGCAAGGUGACCUACUCGGGCGGAGACGGGGCCGUGGAGAUGCACAACAGCAGCAAGUGCCAGGCCUGCCUCAGCGGCUCGAUGACGCCCCGGCUGUACGUGACCCAGCCGUCCUUCGGCGACGCGCUCGCCGGCAAGGCCGUGGCCAGCUGCCUGCUGCUGGGCUGGCACCUGCGCGGCGCCAAGCUCUUCUGGCAGGCGGGCGGGAGCCGCCAGCCGGAGCGGCCCGUGGGGACCGUCACCCCGCACGCCAACGGCACCGAGAGCCUGCUCACCACCUACCCCGUCUCCCUGGAGCAGUGGAAGGCCGGCCUGAGGCUCGCCUGCCACGCCGACGUCCCCUGCCACGGCAGCAUCUCCGAGGAGCUCGCCGUGGGGCCGGCACCGGGCCCGAGGAAGGUGCCGGUGGUGACCGUCUCCCGCGCCGUCCUCGAGGGCUCGGGGACGAGCGUCCCGGCGGCGCGGCUGCUCUGCGAGGCCAGCGACUUCUCCCCGCGGGACAUCAGCGUGCGCUGGGAGGCGGAGGGCGCCGAGGAGCCCCCCGAGCGCUACGAGAGCGGCCCCGUGGCCGGCGACGGCCCCUUCUACACCCACAGCCUCCUCCGCGUGGCGGCCGGGCGGGAGGCGGCCAACUACACCUGCGUCGUGCAGCACCCGGCCGCGGAGCAGCCGCUGCGUGUCACGGGCCGCGCCGGUGUCCCCAGCCCCCAGCGCCCGCGGGUCUCCGUCUUCCUCGCCCCCGGCGGCAGCGGCGGCGGCGGGGAGCUGGCCUGCUUCGCCGCCGGUUUCCACCCGCCCGGCGUCGACAUGCGCUGGGAGGCGGCGGGCGGCCGGCGGCUGGACUGCGCCGGCGAGCGGGUGGCCCUGGCCGACGGCACCUUCCAGCAGCGCUGCACGGCCACGCUGGGCGCCGAGGAGUGGCGGGCCGGCGGCACCUACGCCUGCACGGUGACCCACGGGCCGUGGGCGGAGGAGAAGUCGCUCGCCCACCCCGGUUGCCAGACGCCGCCGCCGUCCUCGUCCUCGGUGCAGCCGCCGCCUUUCCGGGAGCUCUUCCUGCGCGGGGCGGCCGAGCUGACGUGCAGCGGGCCGCGGGGCAGCGCCGUGCUGGGCUGGCUGGUGCAGGGGCGCCCGGCCGAGCCCGGGGCCGUGCGGACGCAGCCCGGCGCCGAGGGCGGGGGGCCCCGCAGCCGGCUGCGCGUCAGCCUGCGCCAGUGGAACGACACGGCCCGCUUCGCCUGCCGCCUCCGCAGCGGCGCCGAGGAGACGCGGCUGGAGCUCAGCCGCACCACGGGCCCCUUGAAGCCGCCGACCAUCCACGUGCUGCCGUCGUCGGUGGCGGAGGCCUGCGGCAGCCGCAACUUCACCCUCUUCUGCGUCGCCGACGAUUUCUACCCGCCGGAGGUCGCGGUGUGGUGGCAGCGGGGCGGCGGGGGGGGCCCGGCCGGCGAGGCCGUCGCCCCGAGCUGCGACCACGAGGCCCGGCGCUGCUCGGCCGUGGCCAGGCUGGAGGUGGCCCGCAGCGAGUGGGCCGGGGGGGCCUCGUACGGCUGCUUCGCCGCCCACAUCGCCGCCGCCGCCGUGGCGGAGAGGACCGUGGACGCCGACACCGGCCUCUGGGACUGCGGCGUCCCGCCCCCGGUGCCCUGCGGGCUGCUGGCCGACGGCGACGACGCCGAUCCCGAGGACACCGACGGCGCCUGGACCUCCUUCUCCACCUUCGUCGUCCUCUUCCUCGUCCUGGUCUUCUACAGCGGAGUCGUCACGUUCAUCAAGGUGAAAUAACGCCCAGCGCCGCCCGCGCGCCCCGAGGCCCGUCCCAACCCCUCCUCGGCCGCCGGCCCGUCGGAGCCGUGCGCCCGCCGCGCGUUUCCCCUCUGCCCGCUGCCUUCCCGGGCCGGAGCGCCC